Molecule: non-coding RNA, 48 nt
Filed under: Schistosoma margrebowiei
Lineage: Eukaryota; Metazoa; Platyhelminthes; Trematoda; Strigeidida; Schistosomatidae
Source: RNAcentral
GUCCAGCUGACAAGUCCCAAAUAGGACGAAACGUCGAUCAAACUGGAU